AUUGAACGCUAGCGGGAUGCUUUACACAUGCAAGUCGAACGGCAGCGCGGACUUCGGUCUGGCGGCGAGUGGCGAACGGGUGAGUAAUGUAUCGGAACGUGCCCAGUAGCGGGGGAUAACUACGCGAAAGCGUAGCUAAUACCGCAUCCGCCCUACGGGGGAAAGCAGGGGAUCGUAAGACAUUGCCCUAUUGGAGAGGCCGAUAUCGGAUUGGCUAGUUGGUGAGGUAACGGCUCACCAAGGCGACGAUCCGUAGCUGGUUUGAGAGGACGACCAGCCACACUGGGACUGAGACACGGCCCAGACUCCUACGGGAGGCAGCAGUGGGGAAUUUUGGACAAUGGGGGCAACCCUGAUCCAGCCAUCCCGCGUGUGCGAUGAAGGCCUUCGGGUUGUAAAGCACUUUUGGCAGGAAAGAAACGUCGCGGGCUAAUACCCCGUGGAACUGACGGUACCUGCAGAAUAAGCACCGGCUAACUACGUG
This 484-nucleotide ribosomal RNA is filed under the name uncultured bacterium. RNAcentral describes it as "partial 16S ribosomal RNA". It matches the Rfam family "Bacterial small subunit ribosomal RNA", at positions 30 to 507 of the family's 1533-position model. The record is from RNAcentral.